RNAcentral lists this transfer RNA (76 nucleotides) under Candidatus Dadabacteria bacterium. RNAcentral's name for it is "tRNA-Phe". It matches the Rfam family "tRNA". From Rfam's summary of the family: Transfer RNA (tRNA) molecules are approximately 80 nucleotides in length. Their secondary structure includes four short double-helical elements and three loops (D, anti-codon, and T loops). Further hydrogen bonds mediate the characteristic L-shaped molecular structure. tRNAs have two regions of fundamental functional importance: the anti-codon, which is responsible for specific mRNA codon recognition, and the 3' end, to which the tRNAs corresponding amino acid is attached (by aminoacyl-tRNA synthetases). tRNAs cope with the degeneracy of the genetic code in two manners: having more than one tRNA (with a specific anti-codon) for a particular amino acid; and 'wobble' base-pairing, i.e. permitting non-standard base-pairing at the 3rd anti-codon position. The record is from RNAcentral. Lineage: Bacteria; Pseudomonadati; Thermodesulfobacteriota; Candidatus Dadabacteria.
GCCGAGCUAGCCUAGUUGGUCAUGGCGCGCCCCUGAAGAGGGUGAGAUUCAGGUUCGAUUCCUGAGCUCGGCACCA